This 67-nucleotide transfer RNA is filed under the name Amphioctopus fangsiao. RNAcentral's name for it is "tRNA-Phe". The record is from RNAcentral. Lineage: Eukaryota; Metazoa; Mollusca; Cephalopoda; Octopoda; Octopodidae.
ACUUAAAUAGCUUAAAUAUUAGAGCGUGUUUUUGAAAGUGUUAAGGUUAAAAACCUAUCUUUAAGUU